Molecule: ribosomal RNA, 493 nt
Filed under: uncultured bacterium
Lineage: Bacteria
Description: partial 16S ribosomal RNA
Rfam family: Bacterial small subunit ribosomal RNA
Source: RNAcentral
GACGAACGCUGGCGGCGUGCUUAACACAUGCCAGUCGAACGGUGAAGCGCCUUCCUUUUUGGUGGGUGUGGAUGAGUGGCGAACGGGUGAGUAACACGUGAGUAACCUGCCCCCUUCUUCUGGAUAACCGCAUGAAAGUGUGGCUAAUACGGGAUAUUCUGGGUCUGUCGCAUGAUGGGUCUGGGAAAGAUAUUGUUUCGGUGGGGGAUGGGCUCGCGGCCUAUCAGCUUGUUGGUGGGGUGAUGGCCUACCAAGGCGGUGACGGGUAGCCGGCCUGAGAGGGUGGACGGUCACACUGGGACUGAGACACGGCCCAGACUCCGACGGGAGGCAGCAGUGGGGAAUAUUGCACAAUGGGCGCAAGCCUGAUGCAGCGACGCCGCGUGAGGGAUGGAGGCCUUCGGGUUGUGAACCUCUUUCGCCAGUGAAGCAGGCCUGCCUCGUUUGUGGGUGGGUUGACGGUAGCUGGAUAAGAAGCGCCGGCUAACUACGU